GACAGAGGGUGCAAACGUUGUUCGGAAUUACUGGGCGUAAAGCGCGUGUAGGCGGCCCUGUAAGUCGGGUGUGAAAUCCCACGGCUCAACCGUGGAAGUGCAUUCGAAACUACAGGGCCAGAGUUCUGGAGAGGAAGGUGGAAUGCUUGGUGUAGAGGUGAAAUUCGUAGAUAUCAAGCGGAACACCGGUGGCGAAGGCGGCCUUCUGGACAGUAACUGACGCUGAGACGCGAAAGCGUGGGGAGCAAACAGG
Molecule: ribosomal RNA, 253 nt
Filed under: uncultured bacterium
Lineage: Bacteria
Description: partial 16S ribosomal RNA
Rfam family: Bacterial small subunit ribosomal RNA
Source: RNAcentral